Molecule: unclassified non-coding RNA, 655 nt
Filed under: Hevea brasiliensis (rubber tree)
Lineage: Eukaryota; Viridiplantae; Streptophyta; Magnoliopsida; Malpighiales; Euphorbiaceae
Source: RNAcentral
AUUACCCUUCCUACCUAGCUCAACAUAUCCAAUCGUCUCGCCCAACCUAUGACCCAGACACUAUUCCUAUCCCGCUGGUUCCAUUGCAUAUUUUACCCAGCAAGUAUGAGCGGCCCAUAAGUGUUAUUGGGUUCCUUGAUACUGGAGCCCAUAAAAGCAUGAUGAAUCCCACCAUCUUACCUCUAGAAUACUGGGUCCCACAUACAGAAUAUUUCAAAGCAGCGGAUGGAAAUAUCUUCAAAACCAGCCUGAUCACCAAAUAACCCAUUGGAAUUCAAUUUUUUCUCACCUGAAUCCUCUGGACAAAGGUCACUAGCUCAGACCUCCCUGAUAAAAACCUGGUGAUUGGAUUCGACCUAUAUCAGCAAGCAAGACACCUGAAGAUCCUCUCAACUGGAUUAAAAUACAAAAGGAAUUUUCAGCCCUUCAUCUUUGUUCCUAGGCUGUAUUCCUUAGCUGAUGCCUCAGUUGAAUUCCACGACCACAAAGAACUCCUCUUAAAGUCCUGUGCAGAUUCUCACUCACAAUUCCACCAUCACCAUCACCAUUCCCUGUGGAAGAACCCAGAGUUUUUUGUCCGUCUCCCAUUCAAGCUUAAUGAAGACAUAAACCCAACCAAAGCAUCACAUUCGGGGAUGAACCCCGCAGACUUAGA